RNAcentral lists this transfer RNA (61 nucleotides) under Ictidomys tridecemlineatus (thirteen-lined ground squirrel). RNAcentral's name for it is "Spermophilus tridecemlineatus (thirteen-lined ground squirrel) tRNA". It matches the Rfam family "tRNA", at positions 6 to 65 of the family's 71-position model. From Rfam's summary of the family: Transfer RNA (tRNA) molecules are approximately 80 nucleotides in length. Their secondary structure includes four short double-helical elements and three loops (D, anti-codon, and T loops). The record is from Rfam by way of RNAcentral. Lineage: Eukaryota; Metazoa; Chordata; Mammalia; Rodentia; Sciuridae.
UGUGGCUCAGAGGUAGAGCGCUCGCCUAGCACGCAGGAGGCCCUGGGUUCAAUCCCCGGUA